This 451-nucleotide ribosomal RNA is filed under the name uncultured bacterium. RNAcentral describes it as "partial 16S ribosomal RNA". It matches the Rfam family "Bacterial small subunit ribosomal RNA", at positions 354 to 796 of the family's 1533-position model. The record is from RNAcentral.
GUGGGGAAUAUUGGACAAUGGGGGGAACCCUGAUCCAGCCAUGCCGCGUGUGUGAAGAAGGCCUUUUGGUUGUAAAGCACUUUAAGCGAGGAGGAGGCUACCGAGAUUAAUACUCUUGGAUAGUGGACGUUACUCGCAGAAUAAGCACCGGCUAACUCUGUGCCAGCAGCCGCGGUAAUACAGAGGGUGCAAGCGUUAAUCGGAUUUACUGGGCGUAAAGCGCGCGUAGGUGGCCAAUUAAGUCAAAUGUGAAAUCCCCGAGCUUAACUUGGGAAUUGCAUUCGAUACUGGUUGGCUAGAGUAUGGGAGAGGAUGGUAGAAUUCCAGGUGUAGCGGUGAAAUGCGUAGAGAUCUGGAGGAAUACCGAUGGCGAAGACAGCCAUCUGGCCUAAUACUGACACUGAGGUGCGAAAGCAUGGGGAGCAAACAGGAUUAGAUACCCCAGUAGUCC